UACAGAGGUCUCAAGCGUUGUUCGGAUUCAUUGGGCGUAAAGGGUGCGUAGGCGGCGCGGUAAGUCGGGUGUGAAAUCUCGGAGCUUAACUCCGAAACUGCAUUCGAUACUGCCGUGCUUUGAGGACUGGAGAGGAGACUGGAAUUUACGGUGUAGCGGUGAAAUGCGUAGAUAUCGUAAGGAAGACCAGUGGCGAAGGCGGGUCUCUGG
RNAcentral lists this ribosomal RNA (210 nucleotides) under uncultured bacterium. Its description in RNAcentral is "partial 16S ribosomal RNA". It matches the Rfam family "Bacterial small subunit ribosomal RNA", at positions 524 to 732 of the family's 1533-position model. The record is from RNAcentral.